RNAcentral lists this small RNA (384 nucleotides) under Histoplasma capsulatum. RNAcentral's name for it is "hypothetical RNA". The record is from RNAcentral. RNAcentral also lists the same sequence under 1 other name. Lineage: Eukaryota; Fungi; Ascomycota; Eurotiomycetes; Onygenales; Ajellomycetaceae.
AUAGUACAACUUACCCUCUAAAAUCCCUCCAAAAAAUUCCAAGAGAAAGCCAAAAAUGGGCCAUCUCGUCUAAGAACUAAUCCAAACGCGCCCUACCCCACGAAAACGCCAGAGACCUAUCAUUGCGAAUAUGCCCGUAUGUGGGUCAAGAUCAAAUCCGUCUACGCGCUUAUUACAAUCACCGAUGCUGAAAACGCCACUCUGGCUGAAAUGCUGGGGACUUGUUGAGCGGGAAGGAAAAGAAUGAAAAACUAACAUAGGGGCGGCGGCGGGGUCUGGGGCUGUAGGUUUGGUGUAUACGUUCAGAGCAGAAUAUAGAUACUCUCGGUUCUAUUUUCGCGAUUAUAUAUUGCAUUUUUCAUAUCUAAACUUACGCAAGAGGGU